GGAUGAACGCUGACAGAAUGCUUAACCCAUGCAAGUCUUUGGCGAAUCUGUGCUUGCACCGGCUAGCCAAGGCGGACGGGUGAGUAACGCGUAAAGAACUUGCCCUGCAGACAGGGAUAACAGACGGAAACGACUGAUAACACCUGAUACAGUUGCCGGCACGCAUGUGCCUGGCAAUGAAAAGAGAUGCUGCAGGAGAGCUUUGCGUCCUAUUAGCUUGUUGGUGAGGUGACGGCUCACCAAGGCGAUGAUAGGUAGCCGGCCUGAGAGGGUGAACGGCCACAAGGGGACUGAGAUACGGCCCUUACUCCUACGGGAGGCAGCAGUGGGGAAUAUUGGACAAUGGGGGCAACCCUGAUCCAGCAAUUCUGUGUGCACGAAGAAGGUUUUCGGAUUGUAAAGUGCUUUCAGCAGGGAAGAAGAAAGUGACGGUACCUGCAGAAGAAGCGACGGCUAAAUACGUG
This 464-nucleotide ribosomal RNA is filed under the name uncultured bacterium. Its description in RNAcentral is "partial 16S ribosomal RNA". It matches the Rfam family "Bacterial small subunit ribosomal RNA", at positions 27 to 507 of the family's 1533-position model. The record is from RNAcentral.